RNAcentral lists this ribosomal RNA (423 nucleotides) under uncultured microorganism. Its description in RNAcentral is "bacterial SSU rRNA". It matches the Rfam family "Bacterial small subunit ribosomal RNA", at positions 9 to 415 of the family's 1533-position model. The record is from RNAcentral.
GAGUUUGAUCUUGGCUCAGGAUGAACGCUGGCGGCGUGCUUAACACAUGCAAGUCGAACGAGGAAUUUUAAAUGAGACUUCGGUGGAUUUUAAAAUUCUUAGUGGCGGACGGGUGAGUAACGCGUGGGCAACCUGCCCUGUACAGGGGGGACAACAGCUGGAAACGGCUGCUAAUACCGCAUAAGACCACGGAGCCGCAUGGCUCAGUGGGAAAAACUCCGGUGGUACAGGAUGGGCCCGCGUUGGAUUAGGUAGUUGGUGAGGUAACGGCCCACCAAGCCGACGAUCCAUAGCCGACCUGAGAGGGUGACCGGCCACGUUGGGACUGAGACACGGCCCAAACUCCUACGGGAGGCAGCAGUGGGGAAUCUUCCGCAAUGGGCGAAAGCCUGACGGAGCAAGUCGCCCGUGAGUGAAGAAUUA